Molecule: long non-coding RNA, 853 nt
Organism: Sitophilus oryzae (rice weevil)
Lineage: Eukaryota; Metazoa; Arthropoda; Insecta; Coleoptera; Curculionidae
Exons: 3
Source: RefSeq, a predicted model, not a curated record
CCUAGAUAUAUAAAGUACCGCAAUUACCGCCAUAUUGGCGCCAAAACUAGCGGCAAAUUUAAAAAGGAGGCCAACAUUUCGCUGUUUCGGCUUUUUAAGCAGCUGGUCGGUCCGGCGCCAAUAUGGCCGACCAACAUUGACAGGCAAGCCGUAAAAUAAAAUAUUUAUUAAUUGUAAUAGAAUUACGUUUAUUAUCUACAGUUUACCUUCAUUUUAACGCCUAUAUAUGUUAAGAGGUUAUAAACGAAUGGUUUCCGUACAAGUGUUUUUCAUUUGUAUUAGCAUUUAUUUUAUGUUACCUUUUAGCGCAAAGUACGCCAACAGAAUACUUAAUUCAGUCGAAACAAUUGGAAAAACUUUGUUUGUUGAUGAGAACGGGAUACCUAUACCAUAAGUAAACUUUCCCUAUUAUACCAGUUAUGCUGUAGUUAGUUUUGACAAAUAAGCAUGAUUUAACGAAAGUCUUUGGAACUAUGAAUAAGCUACAAACUUAAAUUUGAAGGCCGGCUUUUAUACGAGAAAAUUUUGAACCAUGGUUGAAACAAAUAAAUGUAAUAAUUAAAUUGAUAUGAUACAUACCUGCUAUUUUUGAAAUAUAUUAAUAUAUUGAUAGAAAGAUUGUUUCAAUUAGUAUUACUUCAGGUAGUUUCGGCAUUUUAGGUAUGUAAUUGUGCACUUAAUUUAAAAAUAACUUAGAAAGAAGCUUGAAAUGCAUAAGAGCUCUUUAUGUAUGCUGUAUAAUUAAGGUUUGUUAUGGAGUGGUUUUUAUACAACAAAUUUAUUAUUAGUUGAAUAAAAGCAAGUUAAUACCACAUAAUACAAUUAAAAUAUAUUUUACUCUGCAAUUUAAUGU